CGCGCAGGCGGUUUGAAUAGUCAGAUGUGAAAGCCCACGGCUUAACCGUGGAAGUGCAUUUGAAACUGUCAGACUUGAGUACCAGAGGGGAAAGUGGAAUUCCCGGUGUAGAGGUAAAAUUCGUAGAUAUCGGGAGGAAUACCGGUGGCGAAGGCGACUUUCUGGCUGGAUACUGACGCUGAGGCGCGAAAGCGUGGGGAGCAAACA
This 207-nucleotide ribosomal RNA is filed under the name uncultured Desulfobulbus sp. RNAcentral describes it as "partial 16S ribosomal RNA". It matches the Rfam family "Bacterial small subunit ribosomal RNA", at positions 568 to 774 of the family's 1533-position model. Lineage: Bacteria; Pseudomonadati; Thermodesulfobacteriota; Desulfobulbia; Desulfobulbales; Desulfobulbaceae. The record is from RNAcentral.